UUGACAUAUAUUAGAACUCCGCAGAGAUGCAGAGGUGCCUUCGGGAGCUUUUAUACAGGUGCUGCACGGCUGUCGUCAGCUCGUGUCGUGAGAUGUUGGGUUAAGUCCCGCAACGAGCGCAACCCUCGUCACUAGUUACUAACGGUUCGGCCGAGGACUCUAGUGAGACUGCCUUCGUAAGGAGGAGGAAGGUGAGGACGACGUCAAGUCAUCAUGGCCCUUACGGCUAGGGCAACACACGUGCUACAAUGGUUGGGACAAUGAGACGCAAUACCGCGAGGUGGAGCAAAUCUAUAAACCCAAUCUCAGUUCGGAUUGUUCUCUGCAACUCGAGAACAUGAAGCUGGAAUCACUAGUAAUCGUAGAUCAGCUAUGCUACGGUGAAUACGUUCCCGGGUCUUGUACUCACCGCCCGUCACACCAUGGGAGUUGAUUUCACCCGAAGCGGGGAAGCUAAACUGGCUACCCUCCACGGUGGAAUUAGCGACUGGGGUGAAGUCGUAACAAGGUA
This 511-nucleotide ribosomal RNA is filed under the name uncultured bacterium. RNAcentral's name for it is "bacterial SSU rRNA". It matches the Rfam family "Bacterial small subunit ribosomal RNA", at positions 981 to 1498 of the family's 1533-position model. The record is from RNAcentral.